AGUAGUCCACUGUGGUCUAAGGCUGAAAUGCGGUGACCAGACUAGAAAACAUGUCAAUGGUGGUCCUUGUGAAAGGGUUGACAAAGAAGUCUAGGGAGACGGUGACACGUCGGAUCUCUGGCCUAUGUGAGUGCUAAAACAAUUAUGGUAUUGGUUGCUUAAAGGUGUCAUAUUGCCACUACGACUUUGAGAAUGGUGAAUGGUUGUGGCAAUAUGACUUUAAGCAGCCAAUAAUAUAAUCUUUUUAGCACUGAUGGUGGCUAGAGAACCGGCAUGCCACUGUCUCCGUAGAUUUUUUUUGUCAACCCUUUUGCAAGUCCCACCAUUGAUCAAUUUUCCGAGCGGGUCACCGUAUUUUAGCCUCAGACCACGGUGGACUACU
Arabidopsis thaliana (thale cress) is the source of this 382-nucleotide non-coding RNA. The record is from RefSeq. NCBI's taxonomy places the organism in Eukaryota, Viridiplantae, Streptophyta, Magnoliopsida, Brassicales, Brassicaceae.